This 709-nucleotide ribosomal RNA is filed under the name Corynebacterium afermentans. Its description in RNAcentral is "bacterial SSU rRNA". It matches the Rfam family "Bacterial small subunit ribosomal RNA", at positions 37 to 758 of the family's 1533-position model. The record is from RNAcentral. Lineage: Bacteria; Bacillati; Actinomycetota; Actinomycetes; Mycobacteriales; Corynebacteriaceae.
UGGCGGCGUGCUUAACACAUGCAAGUCGAACGGAAAGGCCCAAGCUUGCUUGGGUACUCGAGUGGCGAACGGGUGAGUAACACGUGGGUGAUCUGCCCUGCACUUCGGGAUAAGCCUGGGAAACUGGGUCUAAUACCGGAUAGGACCACAUUUUGGAUGGUGUGGUGGAAAGUUUUUCGGUGUGGGAUGAGCUCGCGGCCUAUCAGCUUGUUGGUGGGGUAAUGGCCUACCAAGGCGUCGACGGGUAGCCGGCCUGAGAGGGUGUACGGCCACAUUGGGACUGAGAUACGGCCCAGACUCCUACGGGAGGCAGCAGUGGGGAAUAUUGCACAAUGGGCGCAAGCCUGAUGCAGCGACGCCGCGUGGGGGAUGACGGCCUUCGGGUUGUAAACUCCUUUCGCUAGGGACGAAGCGUUAUGUGACGGUACCUGGAGAAGAAGCACCGGCUAACUACGUGCCAGCAGCCGCGGUAAUACGUAGGGUGCGAGCGUUGUCCGGAAUUACUGGGCGUAAAGAGCUCGUAGGUGGUUUGUCGCGUCGUUUGUGUAAGCCCGCAGCUUAACUGCGGGACUGCAGGCGAUACGGGCAUAACUUGAGUGCUGUAGGGGAGACUGGAAUUCCUGGUGUAGCGGUGGAAUGCGCAGAUAUCAGGAGGAACACCGAUGGCGAAGGCAGGUCUCUGGGCAGUAACUGACGCUGAGGAGCGAAA